This 85-nucleotide transfer RNA is filed under the name Ganoderma leucocontextum. RNAcentral describes it as "tRNA-Gln". It matches the Rfam family "tRNA". From Rfam's summary of the family: Transfer RNA (tRNA) molecules are approximately 80 nucleotides in length. Their secondary structure includes four short double-helical elements and three loops (D, anti-codon, and T loops). Further hydrogen bonds mediate the characteristic L-shaped molecular structure. tRNAs have two regions of fundamental functional importance: the anti-codon, which is responsible for specific mRNA codon recognition, and the 3' end, to which the tRNAs corresponding amino acid is attached (by aminoacyl-tRNA synthetases). tRNAs cope with the degeneracy of the genetic code in two manners: having more than one tRNA (with a specific anti-codon) for a particular amino acid; and 'wobble' base-pairing, i.e. permitting non-standard base-pairing at the 3rd anti-codon position. The record is from RNAcentral. Lineage: Eukaryota; Fungi; Basidiomycota; Agaricomycetes; Polyporales; Polyporaceae.
GGCGCUAUAGUGUAGUGGUUAUCACUUGGGAUUCUGAUCAUCACACCUUAUUCCCAAAACCCAGGUUCGAGCCCUGGUAGCGCCU